Molecule: ribosomal RNA, 494 nt
Filed under: uncultured bacterium
Lineage: Bacteria
Description: partial 16S ribosomal RNA
Rfam family: Bacterial small subunit ribosomal RNA
Source: RNAcentral
GACGAACGCUGGCGGCGUGCUUAACACAUGCAAGUCGAACGGAAAGGCCUGCUUUCCCUUGUGGAUUGCGGGUACUCGAGUGGCGAACGGGUGAGUAACACGUGAGUGAUCUGCCCCCAACUUGGGUAUAAGCCUGGGAAACUGGGUCUAAUUCCCGAUAGGACUGCAGGGUGGUGCCUGUGGUGGAAAACGAUUUUCUAGUGGUUGGGGAUGAGCUCGCGGCCUAUCAGCUUGUUGGUGGGGUAAUGGCCUACCAAGGCGGCGACGGGUAGCCGGCCUGAGAGGGUGGACGGCCACAUUGGGACUGAGAUACGGCCCAGACUCCCACGGGAGGCAGCAGUGGGGAAUAUUGCACAAUGGGCGGAAGCCUGAUGCAGCGACGCCGCGUGGGGGAUGACGGCCUUCGGGUUGUAAACUCCUUUCGACCGCGAGGAAGCCACCUGGUUGGAAGGGUGGUGACGGUAGUGGUAGAAGAAGCAGCGGCUAACUACGUG